UAAAUUCGGUCUUUCGGGC
Molecule: microRNA, 19 nt
Filed under: Bombyx mori (domestic silkworm)
Lineage: Eukaryota; Metazoa; Arthropoda; Insecta; Lepidoptera; Bombycidae
Description: bmo-miR-2745
Source: miRBase by way of RNAcentral